Non-coding RNA from Schistosoma haematobium, 45 nucleotides. The record is from Rfam. NCBI's taxonomy places the organism in Eukaryota, Metazoa, Platyhelminthes, Trematoda, Strigeidida, Schistosomatidae.
GUCCAUCUGACGAGUUCUUAAUAGAAGGAAACGCUCGUCCUGGAU